Molecule: RNase P RNA, 303 nt
Filed under: Candidatus Woesearchaeota archaeon
Lineage: Archaea; Nanobdellati; Candidatus Woesearchaeota
Description: RNase P RNA component
Rfam family: Archaeal RNase P
About the family: Ribonuclease P (RNase P) is a ubiquitous endoribonuclease, found in archaea, bacteria and eukarya as well as chloroplasts and mitochondria. Its best characterised activity is the generation of mature 5'-ends of tRNAs by cleaving the 5'-leader elements of precursor-tRNAs. Cellular RNase Ps are ribonucleoproteins.
Source: RNAcentral
GUAGGUAAGUGACCUGGCUAUCCUGUAAAUUGGGAGGAAAGUCCACACACUAUUAAUCGAUUGCUUAUUCAAGCCGGAGAAAUCCGGGGCAACCGCUCAGAAACGGCACGUCCUUACAUUGCUAUAACCGAUGAUGUUGCGAAGCUUUUGGCGACAGAAGUGAGUUAACCAGCUGAGAAGAUGUAAGGGAACGAUGAAACGGCGCGUCCCUGUCAGUGCAAGUCCAUUGAGACGCUUAGUUGAAUGCUGGGAAGUCUGUUCGCAAAACGAAGACUUAACAAAAUGUGGCUUACACUUGCCUAC